RNAcentral lists this non-coding RNA (72 nucleotides) under uncultured alveolate. The record is from RNAcentral.
GAUGGGCCACAAACAGAGGGUUCCAACGGUCCCCAGGAGGCAGCUGGGCAAGUCGGAGAAACAGCCGAACAC